GACGAGCGCUGGCGGCGUGCUUAACACAUGCAAGUCGAACGAAGAGCGAUGGAAGCUUGCUUCUAUCAAUCUUAGUGGCGAACGGGUGAGUAACGCGUAAUCAACCUGCCCUUCAGAGGGGGACAACAGUUGGAAACGACUGCUAAUACCGCAUACGAUCCAAUCUCGGCAUCGGGACUGGAUGAAAGGUGGCCUCUAUUUAUAAGCUAUCACUGAAGGAGGGGAUAGCGUCUGAUUAGCUAGUUGGAGGGGUAACGGCCCACCAAGGCGAUGAUCAGUAGCCGGUCUGAGAGGAUGAACGGCCACAUUGGGACUGAGACACGGCCCAGACUCCUACGGGAGGCAGCAGUGGGGAAUCUUCCGCAAUGGACGAAAGUCUGACGGAGCAACGCCGCGUGAGUGAUGACGGCCUUCGGGUUGUAAAGCUCUGUUAAUCGGGACGAAUGGUUCUUGUGCGAAUAGUGCGAGGAUUUGACGGUACCGGAAUAGAAAGCCACGGCUAACUACGUG
This 510-nucleotide ribosomal RNA is filed under the name uncultured bacterium. RNAcentral describes it as "partial 16S ribosomal RNA". It matches the Rfam family "Bacterial small subunit ribosomal RNA", at positions 28 to 507 of the family's 1533-position model. The record is from RNAcentral.